RNAcentral lists this ribosomal RNA (315 nucleotides) under uncultured eukaryote. RNAcentral's name for it is "partial 18S ribosomal RNA". It matches the Rfam family "Eukaryotic small subunit ribosomal RNA", at positions 1470 to 1796 of the family's 1831-position model. The record is from RNAcentral.
CCCUUAGAUGUUCGGGGCUGCACGCGCGCUACACUGACGCACGCAACAGGUGCCUGCUCCGAGAGGACUGGGUAAUCAUUUGAGUGUGCGUCGUGAUGGGGAUAGAAUAUUGUAAUUAUUACUCUUCAACGAGGAAUUCCUAGUAAGCGCCAGUCAGCAGCUUGCGCUGAUUACGUCCCUGCCCUUUGUACACACCGCCCGUCGCUCCUACCGAUGGGUGAUCCGGUGAAUGAUUCGGACUUCAGCGGCUCCCCUGGGGUGCGCCGGAGAAAGUUUUGUGAACCUUAUCACUUGGAGGAAGGAGAAGUCGUAACA